This is a non-coding RNA of Pelodiscus sinensis (Chinese soft-shelled turtle), 749 nucleotides long. NCBI's taxonomy places the organism in Eukaryota, Metazoa, Chordata, Testudines, Trionychidae. The record is from RefSeq and is a predicted model, not a curated record.
AGUGAUUGAAACUCUUUUCCUUUCUCAUAUGUCUGUGGAAUGGCAUGUUGCUGUCUGCCAAAUGAUUUUGAUCUCUCAAAGCUUGAAGGAAAGAACCUUCUCGUACUAUUGUUGAGAAAGAGUAUGUGUGUGAUUAUUUGGACAAGAUGAAGAAAAUUCUUACCCAAGGCUAGAGGAAGUACCCAGAAGAAUCCAAGCCUGCCCAUCAAACCUACAAGUGUGGUCACAGAGGAGGGACAUUUCAUACCACAAUGGCAUGUAGUGCGGGCUCAGCAACCUUACCUCCCCACACCACGCCUGGGGCAGCUUACGCCCAUGCUGUGGACUCACCCGGCGCUCAGGUUGGAUAACCAAGACUUUACUGUAGAACCUUCCCCUCCAGAAGGAAGCAUUAGCAAGUGUGAAAUACCAGUUUACCAAAAGAGGUGUCAUCUCCUGCCCAACAAAAGAAGGCCUGUAGACAACAGACAAGCCACUAUGGAACAUCUGUGGACAAAAGACUGUUUAUUACUCUCCACGUGCCAAUGGGAGAGGGGCUGUGCACAAACUUUCAUCCCAUUAUAGUUUGAACUGAAGGGGUGAGAAUAAAAAUGGUGGACCUGAAGGAACUGUAUCACUAUGCUGCUUAGAAUGUGAAGAGGGUAAUAUUUCUAAGCUUAAGCAAGGGAUCCCCAAGCUGCUUAGUCGGAGUUAGCCCUUCAGGGCAUAUAGAGCUCACACAAUAUAGAGGCUUCUGUUACUUUUUGAAA